Non-coding RNA from Prunus avium (sweet cherry), 2014 nucleotides. Lineage: Eukaryota; Viridiplantae; Streptophyta; Magnoliopsida; Rosales; Rosaceae. The record is from RefSeq and is a predicted model, not a curated record.
GGAAUUGCCGAACUCGGAAGUGUGGCACUGUGGGAGUGAGGGUGAGAGUGACAGAAAGGAAAGAUCAAAAAGAAGAAGGGGGAAGUAAAGGCUGCUCGUCAUGGGUUGGCUCACCGGCCUGCUAGGCGUGGGUGUCUUACUAAAAUUCUUAAAUUUGUGCGUGGGUGUCCAUAGUAGCAGGCCCAAAGGUUAAAAAGGCAGGAGCUUUCGUUCAUUCAGUUAUGAAAAGGCUCAAGCUUUCAUGCCUGAUAUUUUGCUGCUGCUCUAGCCAAGUAUUAAAUAUGCAAGUCAACUCAAAAGUCAAACAUUUUUCAGCUUGAAGCCUUCAACUGUCCACUGUCUCCUGAUCCUGUAAUUUACAAACCCAACCCAUCAUCCUCAACGGUCAAUUAACUCCAAGACAUUUGAAAAUCAAGCAUGGCGAACGAUGUCCGUGAGAUCUUUGUGGUUUCAGCAGCUGGUUACAAACCCAACCCAUCACCCUAAACCCGCCAUCCCCUCCUCCUCUUUCACCCGCCAAAACCCGCUCGCCAAAAUCCUCCAUCUCACAGCUUCCCCGGGCCCACCCAGCCCCGGUCCCGACCCGCUCCGCCACAAAGCAGCACAAGAGCUCCACGACCACCUCGCCGACCUUUCCAACAUUCCCGAUAUGCCCCUCCCUCUCUGCGCCAUCGUAGACUUUCAAAUGGGCUGGACCAAGGAGGUCUUCUGGAAAUUCCACGUCCCAGUGAUCGGAUUCUUCACAUUCGGCGCGUACGCCGCCGCCAUGGAGUGGGGCUCGUGGAAGGUCCGAGCCGGAGACAUCCGACCCGACGAGCUCCGCCUAAUUCCCGGCCUACCCGAUCACAUGGCUCUCACGAUUUCCGACAUUAAAAGAAGGCCAGCCGGUCCCCCACGUGGCGGUGCGAACCGGCCCCCCGGCGGAAGAAGAGGGGGUGGUCCGCCUAAACCGGGAGACCGGCCUCCGUGGGUCCCAGAGAUAGAAGGCUCCGUCGCUCUGAUGUUCAACACAUGUGACUUCCUGGAACGUCCGUUCAUCGAGUACAUGAAAACCCAGAUGGGGAUGCCAGUAUGGGGCGUGGGCCCACUCUUGCCUGAAACGUACUGGAAGCCGUCGGAUUCACUGCUCCUCCCUGAGCGCCCGAUGAAACCACACCACUGGCGGCAAUCAAACUACAUCGAAGACGACGUCGCACGAUGGCUAGACUCAAAGCCCCGCGGGUCCGUGUUAUACGUGGCAUUCGGCAGCGAAGUGGGUCCCACAGUAGAAUAGUAUCCCCAUCUGGCCAGUGCAUUGGAGGAGUCGACCCGGCCGUUCAUCUGGGUCAUCCAAUCCGGGUCGGGUGACGGGUACUACCCAGAUGGGUUGAACAGCAAAGCGGGUGAGAGGGGUUUGAUAAUAUGUGGAUGGGCACCGCAAGUGUUGAUACUGAGCCAUAAAUCGACAGGUGGGUUCUUAUCACACUGUGGGUGGAAUUCAACCGUGGAAGCCAUUGGCCGUGGGGUGCCCAUUUUGGGGUGGCCCAUUAGGGGUGACCAGUUUUACAAUGCCAAGUUGGUGGCAAAGCAUCUCAAGGUUGGCUAUGGAGUUUGUGAAGAUUUUACAGAAAUGGUUAAGAAAGAAGACAUAGUGGAAGGGAUAGAGAGGUUGAUGGGCGAUGAAGGGGUGAAGAGACAGGCCAUGGAGAUAGGGAAGAGGUUGGAGGACGGGUUUCCUGCGAGCUCCGUGGCUGCAUUGGCUGUUUUUGUGGAUUUUAUUAGGCCAAAAACCAGCUCAGAAGUUUACAGAAUAGUUUGACGGGUCCAGUAUGGUUUUUGAAGCCUUGGAAGUUUUGAUGGGGUCGUUGGUGAUUUCGGCUUCUCUUGCAUUUCAAGUUGAGCAGGAGUUUAUUAUGGAUGGCAAUACUUAAUGGCCAUAUUAUUUUAAUCCCCAUAGUCUCUAUGCUUGCAUUCCCCCCGCCCCCGCAACCCCCAAGCGGGCAUAUUACAGAGCAGAACCUAUGCUGAAAACCAU